Molecule: ribosomal RNA, 155 nt
Filed under: uncultured Sphingomonadaceae bacterium
Lineage: Bacteria; Pseudomonadati; Pseudomonadota; Alphaproteobacteria; Sphingomonadales; Sphingomonadaceae
Description: partial 16S ribosomal RNA
Rfam family: Bacterial small subunit ribosomal RNA
Source: RNAcentral
GGGAGGAGUGCGGGGAAUAUUGGACAAUGGGCGAAAGCCUGAUCCACCAAUGCCGCGUGAGUGAUGAAGGCCUUAGGGUUGUAAAGCUCUUUUACCAGGGAUGAUAAUGACAGUACCUGGAGAAUAAGCUCCGGCUAACUCCGUGCCAGCAGCCG